RNAcentral lists this ribosomal RNA (1351 nucleotides) under uncultured bacterium. RNAcentral's name for it is "bacterial SSU rRNA". It matches the Rfam family "Bacterial small subunit ribosomal RNA", at positions 28 to 1387 of the family's 1533-position model. The record is from RNAcentral.
GAUGACCUUUGGCGGCGUGCUUAACACAUGCAAGUCGAACGGAACUCUCUGGAAAGAGGCUUCGGCCAAUUGAAUUUGAGUUUAGUGGCGGACGGGUGAGUAACGCGUGAGGAACCUGCCUCAAAGAGGGGGACAACAGUUGGAAACGACUGCUAAUACCGCAUAACCCCACGACCCGGCAUCGGGAAGAGGGAAAAGGAGCAAUCCGCUUUGAGAUGGCCUCGCGUCCGAUUAGCUAGUUGGUGAGGUAACGGCCCACCAAGGCGACGAUCGGUAGCCGGACUGAGAGGUUGAACGGCCACAUUGGGACUGAGACACGGCCCAGACUCCUACGGGAGGCAGCAGUGGGGAAUAUUGCACAAUGGGGGAAACCCUGAUGCAGCGACGCCGCGUGGAGGAAGAAGGUCUUCGGAUUGUAAACUCCUGUUGUUGAGGAAGAUAAUGACGGUACUCAACAAGGAAGUGACGGCUAACUACGUGCCAGCAGCCGCGGUAAAACGUAGGUCACAAGCGUUGUCCGGAAUUACUGGGUGUAAAGGGAGCGCAGGCGGGCGAUCAAGUUGGAAGUGAAAUCCAUGGGCUCAACCCAUGAACUGCUUUCAAAACUGGUCGUCUUGAGUAGUGCAGAGGUAGGCGGAAUUCCCGGUGUAGCGGUGGAAUGCGUAGAUAUCGGGAGGAACACCAGUGGCGAAGGCGGCCUACUGGGCACCAACUGACGCUGAGGCUCGAAAGUGUGGGUAGCAAACAGGAUUAGAUACCCUGGUAGUCCACACCGUAAACGAUGAUAAGAGGUGUUGGGAGAUUGACCCUUUCAGUGCCGCAGUUAACCCAAUAAGUAAUCCCCCUGGGGAGUACGACCGCAAGGUUGAAACUCAAAGGAAUUGACGGGGGCCCGCACAAGCAGUGGAGUAUGUGGUUUAAUUCGACGCAACGCGAAGAACCUUACCAAGUCUUGACAUCCUCUGACGAACGUAGAAAUACGUUUUCUCUUCGGAGCAGAGAGACAGGUGGUGCAUGGUUGUCGUCAGCUCGUGUCGUGAGAUGUUGGGUUAAGUCCCGCAACGAGCGCAACCCUUAUGGUCAGUUACUACGCAAGAGGACUCUGGCCAGACUGCCGUUGACAAAACGGAGGAAGGUGGGGAUGACGUCAAAUCAUCAUGCCCUUUAUGACUUGGGCUACACACGUACUACAAUGGCGUUAAACAAAGAGAAGCAAGACCGCGAGGUGGAGCAAAACUCAGAAACAACGUCCCAGUUCGGACUGCAGGCUGCAACUCGCCUGCACGAAGUCGGAAUUGCUAGUAAUCGUGGAUCAGCAUGCCACGGUGAAUACGUUCCCGGGCCUUGCACA